This 467-nucleotide ribosomal RNA is filed under the name uncultured bacterium. RNAcentral describes it as "partial 16S ribosomal RNA". It matches the Rfam family "Bacterial small subunit ribosomal RNA", at positions 29 to 507 of the family's 1533-position model. The record is from RNAcentral.
ACGAACGCUGGCGGCGUGCUUAACACAUGCCAGUCGAACGGAAAGGCCCUGCUUUUGUGGGGUGCUCGAGUGGCGAACGGGUGAGUAACACGUGAGUAACCUGCCCUUGACUUUGGGAUAACUUCAGGAAACUGGGGCUAAUACCGGAUAGGAGCUCCUGCUGCAUGGUGGGGGUUGGAAAGUUUCGGCGGUUGGGGAUGGACUCGCGGCUUAUCAGCUUGUUGGUGGGGUAGUGGCUUACCAAGGCUUUGACGGGUAGCCGGCCUGGGAGGGUGACCGGCCACAUUGGGACUGAGAUACGGCCCAGACUCCUACGGGAGGCAGCAGUGGGGAAUAUUGCACAAUGGGCGGAAGCCUGAUGCAGCAACGCCGCGUGCGGGAUGACGGCCUUCGGGUUGUAAACCGCUUUCGCCUGUGACGAAGCGUGAGUGACGGUAAUGGGUAAAGAAGCACCGGCUAACUACGUG